RNAcentral lists this ribosomal RNA (253 nucleotides) under uncultured bacterium. Its description in RNAcentral is "partial 16S ribosomal RNA". It matches the Rfam family "Bacterial small subunit ribosomal RNA", at positions 524 to 776 of the family's 1533-position model. The record is from RNAcentral.
UACGGGGGGGGCAAGCGUUGUUCGGAAUUACUGGGCGUAAAGGGUUCGUAGGUGGCUUGUUAAGUCAGACGUGAAAUCCCUCGGCUCAACCGGGGAACUGCGUCUGAGACUGAUGAGCUCGAGUGCAGGGGAGGAACGCGGAAUUCCAGGUGUAGCGGUGAAAUGCGCAGAUAUCAGGAGGAACACCGGUGGCGAAGGCGGUUCUCUGGGCAUUACCUGACGCUGAGGAGCGAAAGUGUGGGGAGCGAACAGG